This 433-nucleotide ribosomal RNA is filed under the name uncultured bacterium. Its description in RNAcentral is "partial 16S ribosomal RNA". It matches the Rfam family "Bacterial small subunit ribosomal RNA", at positions 29 to 507 of the family's 1533-position model. The record is from RNAcentral.
AACGAACGCUGGCGGCAUGCCUAACACAUGCAAGUCGAACGAUACCUUCGGGUCUAGUGGCUCACGGGUGCGUAACGCGUGGGAACCUGCCCUUAGGUUCGGAAUAACUCCCCGAAAGGGGUGCUAAUACCGGAUAAUGUCUUCGGACCAAAGAUUUAUCGCCUUUGGAUGGGCCCGCGUUGGAUUAGCUAGUUGGUAGGGUAAAAGCCUACCAAGGCGACGAUCCAUAGCUGGUCUGAGAGGAUGAUCAGCCACACUGGGACUGAGACACGGCCCAGACUCCUACGGGAGGCAGCAGUGGGGAAUAUUGGACAACGGGCGAAAGCCUGAUCCAGCAAUGCCGCGUGAGUGAUGAAGGCCUUAGGGUUGUAAAGCUCUUUUACCCGGGAUGAUAAUGACAGUACCGGGAGAAUAAGCUCCGGCUAACUCCGUG